CAUGCCUAAUACAUGCAAGUCGAGCGAACAGAGAAGUGAGCUUGCUCCUUCGACGUUAGCGGCGGACUGGGUGAGUAACACGUGGGCAACCUACCUUAUAGUUUUGGGAUAACUCCGGGAAACCGGGGCUAAUACCGAAUAAUCUAUUUUACUUCAUGGUGAAAUACUGAAAGACGGUUUCGGCUGUCGCUAUAAGAUGGGCCCGCGGCGCAUUAGCUAGUUGGUGAGGUAACGGCUCACCAAGGCGACGAUGCGUAGCCGACCUGAGAGGGUGAUCGGCCACACUGGGACUGAGACACGGCCCAGACUCCUACGGGAGGCAGCAGUAGGGAAUCUUCCACAAUGGGCGAAAGCCUGAUGGAGCAACGCCGCGUGAGUGAAGAAGGUUUUCGGAUCGUAAAACUCUGUUGUAAGGGAAGAACAAGUACAGUAGUAACUGGCUGUACCUUGACGGUACCUUAUUAGAAAGCCACGGCUAACUACGUGCCAGCAGCCGCGGUAAUACGUAGUAGGCAAGCGUUGUCCGGAAUUAUUGGGCGUAAAGCGCGCCGCAGGCGGUCCUUUUAAGGUCUUGGAUGUGAAAGC
This 585-nucleotide ribosomal RNA is filed under the name uncultured bacterium. RNAcentral's name for it is "bacterial SSU rRNA". It matches the Rfam family "Bacterial small subunit ribosomal RNA", at positions 43 to 603 of the family's 1533-position model. The record is from RNAcentral.